AAGAAAGUGGCAGAGUGGUGACGUGGUUGGCUUGAAACCAGCUCACGGGGGUUCGAUUCCUCCCUUUCUCG
Molecule: transfer RNA, 71 nt
Filed under: Bertella idiomorpha
Lineage: Eukaryota; Metazoa; Chordata; Actinopteri; Lophiiformes; Oneirodidae
Description: tRNA-Ser
Rfam family: tRNA
About the family: Transfer RNA (tRNA) molecules are approximately 80 nucleotides in length.
Source: RNAcentral